Molecule: ribosomal RNA, 464 nt
Filed under: uncultured bacterium
Lineage: Bacteria
Description: partial 16S ribosomal RNA
Rfam family: Bacterial small subunit ribosomal RNA
Source: RNAcentral
CUACGGGCCGCUCCAGUGGGGAAUAUUGCACAAUGGGCGCAAGCCUGAUGCAGCCAUGCCGCGUGUAUGAAGAAGGCCUUCGGGUUGUAAAGUACUUUCAGCGGGGAGGAAGGGAGUAAAGUUAAUACCUUUGCUCAUUGACGUUACCCGCAGAAGAAGCACCGGCUAACUCCGUGCCAGCAGCCGCGGUAAUACGGAGGGUGCAAGCGUUAAUCGGAAUUACUGGGCGUAAAGCGCACGCAGGCGGUUUGUUAAGUCAGAUGUGAAAUUCCCGGGCUCAACCUGGGAACUGCAUCUGAUACUGGCAAGCUUGAGUCUCGUAGAGGGGGGUAGAAUUCCAGGUGUAGCGGUGAAAUGCGUAGAGAUCUGGAGGAAUACCGGUGGCGAAGGCGGCCCCCUGGACGAAGACUGACGCUCAGGUGCGAAAGCGUGGGGAGCAAACAGGAUUAGAUACCCUAGUAGUC